CAAGAAACUGCCUGUUUAACAUGCAGGACAUAAUAUCGUCGCUGUCGGGCGGAAACCUCGAGAGCUUCGCAGCAUAUCCUCAAGAUUAAGAGUCGCAACGAAUCAACACGUCUUCUGAGAGAUUGUACCAGCUCUAGUUGUAGAAAGAUUUCAGAUCUUGUGAGAUGAGGCCAACCUUGUGGGGAUCCUGAGGCAGCUAGAAAUGUACCAGCUCCAGUUGGAUUCCACUUCAUGAGGAUUUCAACAACCUCCUCAUCAAUGCACAACUAUCAGACUGUAUCUGACUGUAGAA
Molecule: long non-coding RNA, 292 nt
Organism: Tachysurus fulvidraco (yellow catfish)
Lineage: Eukaryota; Metazoa; Chordata; Actinopteri; Siluriformes; Bagridae
Exons: 3
Source: RefSeq, a predicted model, not a curated record